RNAcentral lists this ribosomal RNA (305 nucleotides) under uncultured bacterium. RNAcentral's name for it is "bacterial SSU rRNA". It matches the Rfam family "Bacterial small subunit ribosomal RNA", at positions 334 to 635 of the family's 1533-position model. The record is from RNAcentral.
GUUACCUACGGGACGCAGCAGUGAGGAAUAUUGGUCAAUGGGCGGGAGCCUGAACCAGCCAAGUCGCGUGAGGGAAGACGGUCCUACGGAUUGUAAACCUCUUUUGCCGGGGAGCAACGGGGUCCUUGCGAGGGCCCGAUGAGAGUACCCGGAGAAAAAGCAUCGGCUAACUCCGUGCCAGCAGCCGCGGUAAUACGGAGGAUGCGAGCGUUAUCCGGAUUUAUUGGGUUUAAAGGGUGCGUAGGUGGGCUGUUAAGUCAGCUGUGAAAGUCCGCGGCUCAACCGUGGAAUUGCAGUUGAAACUG